RNAcentral lists this long non-coding RNA (2366 nucleotides) under Marmota monax (woodchuck). The record is from RNAcentral. Lineage: Eukaryota; Metazoa; Chordata; Mammalia; Rodentia; Sciuridae.
GGUAGAACCCAGGUAAGGAAAGGGCUCUGUAUAGGCAGAAGACCCAAAGAUACAGUAGGUAUCUCACAUUGGACAGGAAAAGGAGGUGACACGGGGUAAGAAAAAGACAAGAGAUACCACACCACCACCACCACAUACUUGGCUUACUUGAAAAAUCUCACUCAGCCAAACAGAUACAAGUGUCCCUUCGGAUCUUAUUAUUUCUACAGCUGUGACUUAAGUGCUGCUUAUCUUUCCUCCAGGAGAUUCCUUGGAAUGAAACCAAUGGGAGUCCAGGCUUUGGGAGAGUCUCAUCAGAGCAGAUGGGCCAGCAGCAGCCAGAAAGCUUGUUGCCUUUGGCUGAGAGCACCAUCCUGGAAGUGAACAUCUUGUGAGUAAACCCCAGCAGGCUCAGCCUUCGGCCUGAGUGAAGUGGCCUGCUUCUCCUUGAAGAAGGACCUUGUGUUCUCCCACUUUUCCCCUCCCUUCUUGCACAUGUUGAAAAUCCCACUUCUGAGAGCACUCUUCAACUGAAAACCAUGUUGACCAUGAGCAGCCCUGGGAGAUGGCUUCUUAUUGCUUUAGGUCUCUUGGUAUAUGGAAGUGCGUGGCCUGGAGGGCCAGAAGGCCUGAGUUCUGGUUGCUACACAACUACAAAUUUUCUCUGGGACCCUGUUUCCUUGGGACCAAAUUGUUCCUCUGUGGGCCACAGCUUCCUCCACUGUAAGGUUGUUUAUAAUAAGAAUAGCUGCCAUUUAUGAAAUGCUCACUAUGUUCCAGACAUUAUCUCAUUGAAUUCUUUCAACAGUCCUAUGACAUUUGUCCUAUUAUUGUCUUACUUUACAAAUAAGGAAACUGAGGCUUAGCAUUUUCAUACCCUAAUCACCCUUUUUAAAUUGCCAACUGUGUCUAGGCAUAGUGGCCUGUGCCUAUACUCUCAGAUACUUGGGAAGCUGAGGCAGGAAGAUGGCUUGAGCCCAGGAGUUUGAGAUCAACCUGGCCAACAUAGGAAGGUCACAUCUUAAAAAAAAUCCCUACCCCUGGCCAACACUCUUUCUCUGCUUUAUUUUAGCUAUAUCAUUUAAUACCACCUGAAAUGCCACAUAGUUUAUUUUUCUGUUUGUCCUUACCCGCAUAAGACUGUAAACUCCAUUAGGAAAUGGAUUUUGUCUUUUUGUUAUUGUUAUUAUUGUUCAUUUUCUGUGUCCCCAGGGCCUAGAAUUAUGCCUGGAACGCUGUAGACAUUCAAAUAUUGGUUGAACGAAAAACUCAUCAAAUGAAUUCUUGAUAGGAUUGUAAAUUGGCAUAGACUCUAAGGAAGUCAGUUUAGCAAUAAUAACAUUUAACAUACACUAACCUUUUGACCCCACAACACCAGAAUUAUUUUAUUCUAUACAUAAUAUGUUCAUGAAUGUGCCUACGACCAUAAGUGCAAGGAUGUUUACCGCAACAGUUUCCUACAAAGACUAGAAACAAUCAAUAUGUUCAUUAAUAAGGGAGCCUAAUUAAAUAAAUGGAUAAGUUCCUACAGUAGAUUCUGUGUAGAGGUAGAAAAGGAUGAAGUAAUCUGCAUGCACUGAUACACAACAACCUAAGAAAUAUUUUAAGUAAAAAGGCAGAGUAAAAAAACAGUAUAUUACUUCCUUCCAUUUGUAUUAAAAGGUAGGAGAGAUCUUAAGAAAUACUUGUUUAUGCCUAGACUAUUUCCAGAAGACAAAAAAAAUUUGCCUUGAAGAAGGGGACCAGAAAAUCUAGGCAUGGGUAGUGAAUAAACUCCUAUUAAAAUAUACUUCACAAGCCAGGCAUUGUGGUGUAACACCUGUAAUCUCAGCAGCUGGGGAGACUGAGGCAGGAAGAUCUCGAGUUCAAAGUCAGCCUCAGCAACCACGAGGUGCUAAGCAACUCAGUGUGACGCUGCCUCUAAAUAAAAUACAAAAUAGGGUUGGGGAUGUGGCUCAGUGAUUAAGUGCCCCUGAGUUCAAUUCCUGGUACAAAACAAACAAAUAUAUAUAUAUAUAUAUAUAUAUAUAUAUAUAUAUAUAUAUAUAUAUAUAUAUAAUCAAAGUUUUCUAUUUUAACCCUUUUUAAAUGUAUACUUAAAUGGCAUUAAUUAUAUUAAUUAUAUUUACAAUAUUGUGCAAACAGUCACAAAUGUGUAUAUAUAUGUAUUUAUUUAUUUCACAAACUAUGCAAUUGACCUUUUUUUUUUUUUUUGGUGCUGAGGAUUGAACCCAGAGCAUUGUGCAUGCUAGGCAAACACUCUAACAACUGAGCUAUAUCUCCAACCCUGCAAUUGACCUUUUUAAAAUGUACAAUUCAAUAGUUUUUGGUAUGUCAGAUUAACUUUUGAAGAUUAUGAUAAAAAUGUGUAUGUAAUAAAGUUUCCU